UCCGGUUUGUCACCGGCAGUCUCAUUAGAGUGCCCAACUAAAUGUAGCAACUAAUGACAAGGGUUGCGCUCGUUGCGGGACUUAACCCAACAUCUCACGACACGAGCUGACGACAGCCAUGCAGCACCUGUGUUCAGGUUCCCUUUCGGGCACAUCCACCUCUCAGCGGACUUCCUGACAUGUCAAGGGUAGGUAAGGUGGGGAUGACGUUAGGAUAG
This 218-nucleotide unclassified non-coding RNA is filed under the name uncultured Gammaproteobacteria bacterium. Its description in RNAcentral is "contains 16S-23S intergenic spacer region". The record is from RNAcentral. Lineage: Bacteria; Pseudomonadati; Pseudomonadota; Gammaproteobacteria.